RNAcentral lists this transfer RNA (72 nucleotides) under Toxocara canis (dog roundworm). It matches the Rfam family "tRNA". Rfam says of the family: Transfer RNA (tRNA) molecules are approximately 80 nucleotides in length. The record is from Rfam by way of RNAcentral. Lineage: Eukaryota; Metazoa; Nematoda; Chromadorea; Rhabditida; Toxocaridae.
GCCUCGUUGGCUCAGGGGCAGAGCGUCUGUCUCGUAAACAGAAGCCCGCUGGUUCGAUUCCAGCAUGAGGCA